CCAAUUCAUACAAAUUGACAUCUGUUAAAUUGGAACGAUACAAAAAAGAUUAGCAUGGCCCCUAUGAAAGUCAGACAAUCACACAACAAUAAAUGAUCCAGACUCUU
This 107-nucleotide small nuclear RNA is filed under the name Amborella trichopoda. Lineage: Eukaryota; Viridiplantae; Streptophyta; Magnoliopsida; Amborellales; Amborellaceae. The record is from RNAcentral.